CCUACGGGAGGCAGCAGUGGGGGAUAUUGCACAAUGGUGGAAACCCUGAUGCAGCGACGCCGCGUGUGGGAAGACGGUCCUCUGGGUUGUAAACCACUGUCCCCAGGGACGAAGAUGACGGUACCUGGGGAGGAAGCUCCGGCUAACUACGUGCCAGCAGCCUCGGUAAUACGUAGGGAGCGAGGGUUGUCCGGAAUUACUGGGUGUAAGGGGAGCGUGGGCGGGGAUGCAGGUUGGGUGUCAAAACUACCGGCUCAACUGGUAGUCGCACUCAAAACUGGAGCUCUUGAGUGAAGUAGAGGCAGGCGGAAUUCCUAGUGUAGCGGUGAAAUGCGUAGAUAUUAGGAGGAACACCAGUGGCGAAGGCGGCAUGCUGGGCUUUUACUGACGCUGAGGCUCGAAAGUGUGGGGAGCAAACAGGAUUAGAUACCCGAGUAGUC
This 440-nucleotide ribosomal RNA is filed under the name uncultured bacterium. RNAcentral describes it as "partial 16S ribosomal RNA". It matches the Rfam family "Bacterial small subunit ribosomal RNA", at positions 338 to 795 of the family's 1533-position model. The record is from RNAcentral.